RNAcentral lists this ribosomal RNA (253 nucleotides) under uncultured bacterium. RNAcentral's name for it is "partial 16S ribosomal RNA". It matches the Rfam family "Bacterial small subunit ribosomal RNA", at positions 524 to 776 of the family's 1533-position model. The record is from RNAcentral.
UACAGAGGGGGCAAGCGUUGUUCGGAAUUACUGGGCGUAAAGGGCGCGUAGGCGGCCCGCUAAGUCGAACGUGAAAUCCCCAGGCUCAACCUGGGAACUGCGUCCGAUACUGGCAGGCUUGAAUCCGGGAGGGGGAUGUGGAAUUCCAGGUGUAGCGGUGAAAUGCGUAGAUAUCUGGAGGAACACCGGUGGCGAAGGCGGCAUCCUGGACCGGUAUUGACGCUGAGGCGCGAAAGCUAGGGUAGCAAACGGG